CGUGUAGGCGGCUUUGCAAGUCGGGUGUGAAAGCCCUCAGCUCAACUGAGGAAGUGCGCCCGAAACUGCAGAGCUUGAGUACCGGAGAGGAUGGCGGAAUUCCCCAAGUAGAGGUGAAAUUCGUAGAUAUGGGGAGGAACACCGGUGGCGAAGGCGGCCAUCUGGACGGAUACUGACGCUGAGACGCGAAAGCGUGGGUAGCAAACAGGAUUAGAUACCCUGGUAGUCCACGCCGUAAACGAUGAGAACUAGGUGUCGUGGGUGUUGACCCCCGCGGUGCCGUAGCUAACGCAUUAAGUUCUCCGCCUGGGAAGUACGGCCGCAAGGCUAAA
RNAcentral lists this ribosomal RNA (332 nucleotides) under uncultured Archangium sp. Its description in RNAcentral is "bacterial SSU rRNA". It matches the Rfam family "Bacterial small subunit ribosomal RNA", at positions 568 to 898 of the family's 1533-position model. The record is from RNAcentral. Lineage: Bacteria; Pseudomonadati; Myxococcota; Myxococcia; Myxococcales; Archangiaceae.